UACGUAGGGGGCAAGCGCUGUCCGGAAUCAUUGGGCGUAAAGCGCGUGUAGGCGGCUUGGUAAGUCCGCUCUGAAAGCCCGGGGCUCAACCCCGGGAGGCGGGUGGAUACUGUCAAGCUCGAGUCCGGAAGAGGCGAGUGGAAUUCCUGGUGUAGCGGUGAAAUGCGUUGAUAUCCUAAGGAACACCAGUGGCGAAAGCGACUCACUGGGUCUCCACUGACGCUGAGGCACGAAAGCUAGGGGAGCGAAUGGG
This 253-nucleotide ribosomal RNA is filed under the name uncultured bacterium. RNAcentral describes it as "partial 16S ribosomal RNA". It matches the Rfam family "Bacterial small subunit ribosomal RNA", at positions 524 to 776 of the family's 1533-position model. The record is from RNAcentral.